This 253-nucleotide ribosomal RNA is filed under the name uncultured bacterium. Its description in RNAcentral is "partial 16S ribosomal RNA". It matches the Rfam family "Bacterial small subunit ribosomal RNA", at positions 524 to 776 of the family's 1533-position model. The record is from RNAcentral.
UACGAAGGGGGCUAGCGUUGCUCGGAAUCACUGGGCGUAAAGGGUGCGUAGGCGGGUUUUUAAGUCAGGGGUGAAAUCCUGGAGCUCAACUCCAGAACUGCCUUUGAUACUGAAGAUCUUGAGUUCGGGAGAGGUGAGUGGAACUGCGAGUGUAGAGGUGAAAUGCGUAGAUAUUCGCAAGAACACCAGUGGCGAAGGCGGCUCACUGGCCCGAUACUGACGCUGAGGCACGAAAGCGUGGGGAGCAAACAGG